ACAUUGCAAGUCGAGCGGACAGAUGGGAGCUUGCUCCCUGAUGUUAGCGGCGGACGCGGUGAGUAACACGUGGGUAACCUGCCUGUAAGACUGGGAUAACUCCGGGAAACCGGGGCUAAUACCGGAUGGUUGUUUGAACCGCAUGGUUCAAACAUAAAAGGUGGCUUCGGCUACCACUUACAGAUGGACCCGCGGCGCAUUAGCUAGUUGGUGAGGUAACGGCUCACCAAGGCAACGAUGCGUAGCCGACCUGAGAGGGUGAUCGGCCACACUGGGACUGAGACACGGCCCAGACUCCUACGGGAGGCAGCAGUAGGGAAUCUUCCGCAAUGGACGAAAGUCUGACGGAGCAACGCCGCGUGAGUGAUGAAGGUUUUCGGAUCGUAAAGCUCUGUUGUUAGGGAAGAACAAGUACCGUUCGAAUAGGGCGGUACCUUGACGGUACCUAACCAGAAAGCCACGGCUAACUACGUGCCAGCAGCCGCGGUAAUACGUAGGUGGCAAGCGUUGUCCGGAAUUAUUGGGCGU
RNAcentral lists this ribosomal RNA (528 nucleotides) under Bacillus subtilis. RNAcentral's name for it is "bacterial SSU rRNA". It matches the Rfam family "Bacterial small subunit ribosomal RNA", at positions 53 to 561 of the family's 1533-position model. Lineage: Bacteria; Bacillati; Bacillota; Bacilli; Caryophanales; Bacillaceae. The record is from RNAcentral.